CUGAAGGUCUCCCACUGUCGUUUUUUUAGGGUCUCGUUGCCAUGGUGGCUGGGCUCUCUUCCUUCCUCCGCGAGCUCUGUGAUUUCAUGUGUGUGGGUAUGCCCAUUCUGACAUUUUGAUUAUAUAUAUAUAUAUAUAUAUAUAUAUAUAUUGAAUUUUAAAUAAACCCAUAAUUUUACUAAGUUUACCCACCCAUCUUAACUAUCAUGAUGAUGAAGAAAAAACAAAAAAUAAAAUAAAAUAAAAUAAAAAAUUCGAUAUUCAUUAUUCCAUUGUUGGAUCAAAACUAAUGAAAUCUAACCACCUUCAUUACGAUUACCAUAUUCUUCAUCAUAAGCAGGUCGAUUCAGUAAAAACCUGGGUCUAUAUAACAUUCUCAUGUAUAUAUAUAUAUAUAUAAAUAUACAUAUAUAAAUUUGUUGUUGGAGUAUUUUGUGACAAUGGUGUGGUUCUUCAGAUUGGCAUUAUCUAUGAUGUUGAUUGCAAUAUUAUUGUUGUGUUGUUGUCAUUUUUAUGGUGAAUAGUUCAAGGUCCAUUUUGGACAGAUUGUUGUAAACAAAAUUCAUGGAGUUUGUCCUACUGCGGAUUGCAAUCAUUGAAUGUAAACCAUGAUUGUGAUUCAAGAGGUUUGAAGGUAUAUGUUUGUUGAUUAUCAUUUUGGGGAAAUGUUGAGGUUUUGUACCAGGUGUAUUUACAAAAGAAGAAGAAGCUGUGAGUGUAAUUCUUGUGUAGGAUGUUUUUAUGAUAGUGUUUUUUUAGCAAUUAAAACCAAUUUAGAGUAAAAAGAAUGAGGAUGUAGAAAAAUCAUUGUUAAACUUUGCAUAUGAAUAUUUACCAUGAAACUUGCAAUAGCAUCAUCUGAUGACUUCUGUAA
This 874-nucleotide long non-coding RNA is filed under the name Physcomitrium patens. Its description in RNAcentral is "long non-coding RNA (PPAT_LNC011644)". The record is from RNAcentral. Lineage: Eukaryota; Viridiplantae; Streptophyta; Bryopsida; Funariales; Funariaceae.